CUGGUACUCCCUCAGUCCGGAAAUACAUCAAAAUGAAUAAAAAGGAUGUAUCUAGACACAUUUUAGUUUUAGAUACAUCCAUUUUUAUCCAUUUUGAUGACAAGUAUUUUCGAACGGAGGGAGUACGUA
Non-coding RNA from Triticum aestivum (bread wheat), 129 nucleotides. The record is from Rfam. NCBI's taxonomy places the organism in Eukaryota, Viridiplantae, Streptophyta, Magnoliopsida, Poales, Poaceae.